GGGUCAGUAGGUUGGUCGUGCCACCGGUACGUACUGGUCUCACUGAUUCCUCCUUCCUGAAGAACCGUAAUGCCAUUAAUUUGGUGUUGCGGUGAAACAGGACUGUUACUUUGAAAAAAUUAGAGUGUUUAAAGCAAGCUAACGCUUGAAUACAUUAGUAUGGAAUAAUGAAAUAGGACGAUCGAUCCUAUUUUGUUGGUUUCUAGGAUUGACGUA
RNAcentral lists this ribosomal RNA (216 nucleotides) under Glomeromycotina sp. RNAcentral's name for it is "partial small subunit ribosomal RNA". The stretch from base 40 to 216 matches the Rfam family "Eukaryotic small subunit ribosomal RNA", at positions 686 to 864 of the family's 1831-position model. Lineage: Eukaryota; Fungi; Glomeromycota. The record is from RNAcentral.